ACGUAUACUCACACCACGCUCUUCCGAUCUUAGACUUAGUAUGACAAAAUGGAGUUGAAGCUCGCUGAACUUUUGGGCAGAGUAACGUUGUAUGAAAGUUUUAAUGCGAAAGGCUAAAGGAUUUUACCGCGAGACUGUAUCGGAACUAGAUGACGAAUCUGGAG
This 164-nucleotide long non-coding RNA is filed under the name Neodiprion lecontei (redheaded pine sawfly). Its description in RNAcentral is "uncharacterized LOC124294589". The record is from RNAcentral. Lineage: Eukaryota; Metazoa; Arthropoda; Insecta; Hymenoptera; Diprionidae.